ACUCAAAGGAAUAGACGGGGGCCCGCACAAGCAGCGGAGCGUGUGGUUUAAUUCGAGGCUACACGAAGAACCUUACCUGGGUUUGACAUGAGGGUGGUAGGGAAGGGAAACCGGACCGACCUUCGGGAGCCUUCACAGGUGCUGCAUGGCUGUCGUCAGCUCGUGUCGUGAGAUGUUCGGUUAAGUCCGAAAACGAGCGCAACCCCCGGCGUCAGUUACAAGUGUCUGGCGCGACUGCCCGUGAGAAACGGGAGGAAGGUGGGGAUGACGUCAAGUCAGCAUGGCCUUGAUAUCCAGGGCGACACACACGCUACAAUGGUCGGUACAAUUGGUUGCAAGCGCGCGAGCGGGAGCCAAUCCCAAAAGCCGAUCGCAGUUCGGAUUGCAGGCUGCAACCCGCCUGCAUGAAGGAGGAGUUGCUAGUAACCGCGCAUCAGCGAUGGCGCGGUGAAUACGUUCCCGGGCCUUGUACACACCGCCCGU
Molecule: ribosomal RNA, 483 nt
Filed under: uncultured bacterium
Lineage: Bacteria
Description: partial 16S ribosomal RNA
Rfam family: Bacterial small subunit ribosomal RNA
Source: RNAcentral